GUCUGGUCCAAGUGCAGUGGAAUUUAUAAUUAAUUGAACACAGUCAGUUAUAGAUUUCUUUGUUCUUUCUCCACUCCCAUUGCUUCACUUGAUUUGUCUUAC
RNAcentral lists this Y RNA (102 nucleotides) under Ornithorhynchus anatinus (platypus). RNAcentral's name for it is "Y RNA (ENSOANG00000048422.1)". It matches the Rfam family "Y RNA". From Rfam's summary of the family: Y RNAs are components of the Ro ribonucleoprotein particle (Ro RNP), in association with Ro60 and La proteins. The Y RNAs and Ro60 and La proteins are well conserved, but the function of the Ro RNP is not known. Lineage: Eukaryota; Metazoa; Chordata; Mammalia; Monotremata; Ornithorhynchidae. The record is from Rfam by way of RNAcentral.